CGUCUAUAUACGUAUAGCAUAUCAAUAAGCGGAGGAAAAGAAACUAACAAGGAUUCCCUUAGUAACGGCGAGUGAAGCGGGAAGAGCUCAAAUUUGAAAUCUUCAAGGUUCUACCUUGACGAAUUGUAGUUUAUAAGAAGUGUAUUUCUGUUAGUGGAGUGGCAAAAGUUCUUUGGAAUAGGACAUCAUAGAGGGUGAGAAUCCCGUAUUUGGUCAUUCCUCCUAGCGUUGUGAUACACUUUCAACGAGUCGGAUUGUUUGGGAAUGCAGUCCAAAAUGGGUGGUAAAUUUCAUCUAAAGCUAAAUAUUGGCGAGAGACCGAUAGCGAACAAGUACCGUGAGGGAAAGAUGAAAAGAACUUUGAAAAGAGAGUUAAACAGUACGUGAAAUUGUCAAAAGGGAAGCGUUUGACACCAGUGUUGUUUUUUCCGAAAAUCAAUUACGAAUGUUUUAUUUUUGAGGAGUUAUGACUUCAUCGGCUUGCUCCUUUCUUUACUGAAACUUUCUUAAUGCACUUUUCGGUUAACAAGUCAACAUCAAUUUCUUUUGUUGUAAAAGGGUAUGAGGAAGGUGGCUUUCUUUUCGGAGAAAGUGUUUAUAGCCUUGUGCCUCUGCAAUCGGAGAGAUUGAGGUCUGCAGCGUAGAUCCUUCGGGGUUAGAUACAUUUGUGCUAAGUUAUAGCUUUUCAUAGACAACUUGUUGACUAUGUUUAGUCUUGUAGCUUACUCGCUUACGCUAUUUUACCUACGCUUAGGAUGUUGACGAGACUGUCGAUCUC
RNAcentral lists this ribosomal RNA (778 nucleotides) under uncultured Neocallimastigales. Its description in RNAcentral is "partial large subunit ribosomal RNA". It matches the Rfam family "Eukaryotic large subunit ribosomal RNA", at positions 26 to 647 of the family's 3401-position model. Lineage: Eukaryota; Fungi; Neocallimastigomycota; Neocallimastigomycetes; Neocallimastigales. The record is from RNAcentral.